AGUGAACGCUGGCGGUAGGCCUAACACAUGCAAGUCGAACGGCAGCACAGUAAGAGCUUGCUCUUACGGGUGGCGAGUGGCGGACGGGUGAGGAAUACAUCGGAAUCUACUUUUUCGUGGGGGAUAACGUAGGGAAACUUACGCUAAUACCGCAUACGACCUACGGGUGAAAGCAGGGGAUCUUCGGACCUUGCGCGAUUGAAUGAGCCGAUGUCGGAUUAGCUAGUUGGCGGGGUAAAGGCCCACCAAGGCGACGAUCCGUAGCUGGUCUGAGAGGAUGAUCAGCCAAACUGGAAAUGAGACACGGUCCAGACUCACACGGGAGGCAGGAGUGGGGAAUUUUGGAAAAUGGGCGCAAGCCUGAUCCAGCCAUACCGGGUGGGGGAAGAAGGCCUUCGGGUUGUAAAGCCCUUUUGUUGGGAAAAAAAAGCAGCAGGUUAAAACCCCGCUGUUCUGACGGUACCCAAAGAAUAAGCACCGGCUAAUUUCGU
This 491-nucleotide ribosomal RNA is filed under the name uncultured bacterium. RNAcentral's name for it is "partial 16S ribosomal RNA". It matches the Rfam family "Bacterial small subunit ribosomal RNA", at positions 29 to 506 of the family's 1533-position model. The record is from RNAcentral.